AUAUAAAUUAAGGCUUUUACUCCAAAAAUCAUUAUAAUGAAAAUAAUAUAUUAUACAAUUUAAAAAACACAUCGAAACAUCAAAAUUUCAAUAUAAAAAAUAAUUUAAUGAUUCAAAAUCAUCAAGAUGUAAGUUGAUGAAAAAUGAUUUUUAGAAAUUCAACAAAAUUGACACCAAUUUAUCGCAAUAUGUUCAAAAUAGAGAUUAACUAAUAUGGCACCGGGGGUGGCUCUUUGAGCAUCUUUUCAACUUACCACGUUAUAACUCCGAAAAUUCUAAAAUAUUCAAAUUUUUUCAACCUUUUUCGAUUACUCAAUUUAAUCUUCAUGUGGUAGCUUCACACACUUGCCGGACGACCGGGGUGGUAGCUCUUUCUUACAUGUGGUGGUAGUUUUCACACUCCUUUUGGAUGUAACUCUUUCCACAUCUUUUAAACAUAGGAGUUUUCUCCUUUUUUUUAAAAUCAAACUCCCCCUUAAUUAGACAAUCUCACAAUUGAAAAUAAUUUUGACAAAAUUUAGUCAAUUAGUGAAUAUCCAUCGAUCAUAUUCAACACUUACAACCGAGAUAGAUAAAUCACCAAGAGAUCAAAUUUGAUUUCAAAAUUUUGAUGAAUACAUGCAUUAAGAAAUCAUAUAUUAAAUUAUCGUCAAAAUAAUAAAAAGUGGA
Molecule: long non-coding RNA, 669 nt
Filed under: Ananas comosus (pineapple)
Lineage: Eukaryota; Viridiplantae; Streptophyta; Magnoliopsida; Poales; Bromeliaceae
Description: long non-coding RNA (ACOM_LNC026771)
Source: RNAcentral